AGGGAAUCUGUGUACAUCUUGAACUUGAAACACUAUCUCCACAUCUGCUUCUGGAGAUGCAACUGGUGACGAUGAGAUGUAAAAUGCACCCAGGGUCACUGUCUUGAAUUGUCACGCUGACCACAUGCUUUUUAGACACCUGAACAAGACACCGAGAGAGGGCCCACCUAAAGAUGGAUAUUCUGCUGAUCUUAAAGGUGUUCAACAACAGUUUUGGGCUGUUCAGCUCUACCAAGAAGUGUCAGAACAGAAAAAAAGACAAGCCUGGGGAAAUAACCAGCAACCUUGAAGCUGGAACAUGUCAUAAAAGGGGAGAUUGAAUUCAUGGACUGGGAGUUGGAGGCCACUUAGAAGGAUACUGCAGAAAUGUGUGUUUUGCUAUAACCUUUGGUGUUAUACAGAAUUAUAGGCUCUUCUCACCCCUUUAUUAUUUUCUUAUCCCAAUUUUUCUCAACUCAAGAUGGUUUCAAGUGGUCACUAUACUUGAGCUCAGAAUAAUUAUAAUAGGGCAUGUGGUGUCCAGGAGAGAAAAAUGACUGAGUGACUGUGGGAAUUGACAAAUAUUUAUUUUAGUUUGUGAUAUUGCAACUUGCUGUGUAUUAUGGUUUCAAAAUCGUUUCUCAAAGACUAAUUCUUGUUCUGAAUUUGCAGGAAUUUUUAAUGCUCUGUGUUACUAAAAAGUGUAAUAUUUAAUAGGCAUUUAGAAUUUAUUUUUGUCUAUGAUAUCCCUGGCAUUUAUUUGAGAGUUAAAGUUACGAAAAAGGCAGUCAGCUAAACUUUUAUCAGGGUUUGGUUGUCAGUCUCCUAUGAUAGACCCAUGUGGAGUUACCCUGUCUAUAAUGGUAGCCAUUUGUUCCAUAUGGCUAAUGAGCACUUGAAAUGUGGCUAGUGAAUUGAGGUAUAUUGUAAAUAUAGAUUACACACUGA
RNAcentral lists this long non-coding RNA (927 nucleotides) under Saimiri boliviensis boliviensis (Bolivian squirrel monkey). RNAcentral's name for it is "lncRNA (ENSSBOG00000036473.1)". The record is from RNAcentral. Lineage: Eukaryota; Metazoa; Chordata; Mammalia; Primates; Cebidae.